CUUGUGGACUGUCAUAUCAAAUGAGAGUAGACUUUACAUUUCAAAGUGUGAAAAUGAAAUCAGACAGGUAGAAGCAAGAA
This 80-nucleotide non-coding RNA is filed under the name unclassified sequences. RNAcentral's name for it is "RAGATH-18 RNA". It matches the Rfam family "RAGATH-18 RNA". Rfam says of the family: Actinobacteria, Firmicutes, Fusobacteria, Thermotogae (1 example). Nearby to self-cleaving ribozyme genes The record is from Rfam by way of RNAcentral.